AUGUGAGUAUUAUUAUUUACAUAUCAGUCUUCUGCCUUGUCUUAAAAACGACUCCUCUGCCACCACAUUACCCCCUCAGGGUAUCUCCUGUUCCUGCCAGCUAAAACCCUAGCAACCGUUGCUAUGGAAGCUUUCUACCUUCCCAGAGUGCCUUGUUUUUUCCACCCCCUUUCCUAGCCAAUUCCAUCCCAACUUGCCACUUCCAGAAUUCUCCUAUAAAAGUCACUUCUGUUUCAGCUCUCUCUCUCUUUCUCUUCCAUGUUCUGACCUGGAGAAGACAUAGAGAAGAGCUGAUGUGCAUAGUGGGAGGCAGCCAUUUUGCUAGCUCUAUGUGGCCUAAACCUGCUGUGCUCACACCUGACUCUGGGGCGUCCGCAUGAAUAAAGAUUUGCAUUCCCGCUCUGCCACAAGUUCCUUGUCUCUCUCUCCCACGAAGCUAGCACGGCACCCUUCCAAGCCCUGUGAUUUCCCAGAAGAGACUCACCCAGAAAGAAAAGGACAAAGAUCAGGGUUGUGACUUACACAUUUCUAUGUUUAGUUACAUGCCUGCCAUCCCUUCUAAAUAUCUUUAUUCCUUUUGUGUUAGUCCACAUUCAGGAAAAUAUCUAUAACUUCUCUAGAUCUAGAAGAGGGACCAUGGAUCCCCCUUCAGCCACUGCUGUCCAUGUGCCAAGGAGUUUACAGAACUCAAUCAUGAACUGAGUACCUGGAAAUUAAAAACCCGGAAACAGGAGAAAAUCCUCAGGGAACUUAUCACAGAAAGAAGCAACAUCAAGGUGCUAGUGGAACAGUUACAGUUUCUCAUACCUGAACAUGAGCUCUUUCUCCAGAAUUCAGAGUCCGAUACCAAAAUCCAGGAUGCAGAAGAAGUUCAGAGUGAGCUUGACAUCCUGAACAACCUUAUCUCAGUCUUUGAAUCUCACCUAUCUCUGAAGGAAAAGCCUGUCAGUCUUCCAGGCUGUUCUCAUAAAGUACAGCACUGAGGAUAGUGAUCUUGAUAUUAUCCACAUCAUCCCAAAAGACAAAAGUAUCUGGACCUUGAUUCAGGACUUCUUAGACAAAAAUUUUGUCUGAAUAUGCUGGCCAGUAGGGCAAGGAACUCAUCAUUUCAAUGCAGCUUAAUUUCCAGAAAACCAUGAGCAAUGACAAGCCAAGAAUAGUAGUUACUAUCACUGCAUUAGUAAUAGUAGUUUCUAUUGAUAUGGUAAUAGGCAAGACUCUACUAGAAGCUAAUAACAUUUUAUUUUUUGCUGGAAAUGGAGUCCUCCUCCUAUUCAGUGAGGAUUCUAAAGGCCCAUUCAACUUACCAUCCACUCUCACAGCAUCUCUGCUCCUGCAGCUUGUAACCAGAGUGAGAACAUUACCCUGGAGCUCUGCACAACAUUGCAGGAAUGAAUAGUGCAAGAUAUUGAUGUCCAACAGCUUUUCUGGUAUGAAAACCAUUCUAAACUUUGCAGUAAACUUGGGAAGAAGCAGGAAAGCAUCAGAAGAAACUCCCACUCACUAUUUUAUCACACACAGAAUUUCCAUGAACAGUUCAAUAAAUUCCUGUGCAGUCUUUCUCA
Erinaceus europaeus (western European hedgehog) is the source of this 1565-nucleotide long non-coding RNA. RefSeq lists it as uncharacterized. NCBI's taxonomy places the organism in Eukaryota, Metazoa, Chordata, Mammalia, Eulipotyphla, Erinaceidae. The record is from RefSeq and is a predicted model, not a curated record. The transcript is spliced from 5 exons.